GACGAACGCUGGCGGCGUGCCUAACACAUGCAAGUCGAACGGAAAGGCCCUGCUUUUGUGGGGUGCUCGAGUGGCGAACGGGUGAGUAACACGUGAGUAACCUGCCCUUGACUUUGGGAUAACUUCAGGAAACUGGGGCUAAUACCGGAUAGGAGCUCCUGCUGCAUGGUGGGGGUUGGAAAGUUUCGGCGGUUGGGGAUGGACUCGCGGCUUAUCAGCUUGUUGGUGGGGUAGUGGCUUACCAAGGCUUUGACGGGUAGCCGGCCUGAGAGGGUGACCGGCCACAUUGGGACUGAGGUACGGCCCAGACUCCUACGGGAGGCAGCAGUGGGGAAUAUUGCACAAUGGGCGGAAGCCUGAUGCAGCAACGCCGCGUGCGGGAUGACGGCCUUCGGGUUGUAAACCGCUUUCGCCUGUGACGAAGCGUGAGUGACGGUAAUGGGUAAAGAAGCACCGGCUAACUACGUG
RNAcentral lists this ribosomal RNA (468 nucleotides) under uncultured bacterium. RNAcentral describes it as "partial 16S ribosomal RNA". It matches the Rfam family "Bacterial small subunit ribosomal RNA", at positions 28 to 507 of the family's 1533-position model. The record is from RNAcentral.